Molecule: ribosomal RNA, 253 nt
Filed under: uncultured bacterium
Lineage: Bacteria
Description: partial 16S ribosomal RNA
Rfam family: Bacterial small subunit ribosomal RNA
Source: RNAcentral
UACAGAGGUCUCGAGCGUUAGGCGGAAUCACUGGGCUUAAAGCGUGUGUAGGCGGAUUGCUAAGUACCUUGUGAAAUCCCACGGCUUAACCGUGGAACUGCUUGGUAUACUGGCUGUCUUGAGCCACUUAGGGGCAACCGGAACAAACGGUGGAGCGGUGAAAUGCGUAGAUAUCGUUUGGAACGCCAAUGGUGAAAACAGCUAGCUGGGAGUGUGCCGACGCUGAGACACGAAAGCCAGGGGAGCGAACGGG